RNAcentral lists this ribosomal RNA (541 nucleotides) under uncultured Gallionellaceae bacterium. RNAcentral describes it as "bacterial SSU rRNA". It matches the Rfam family "Bacterial small subunit ribosomal RNA", at positions 135 to 671 of the family's 1533-position model. The record is from RNAcentral. Lineage: Bacteria; Pseudomonadati; Pseudomonadota; Betaproteobacteria; Nitrosomonadales; Gallionellaceae.
AGUGGGGGAUAACGUAGCGAAAGUUACGCUAAUACCGCAUAUGCCCUGAGGGGGAAAGGUGGGGAUCGCAAGACCUAUCGUUUUCGGAGUGGCCGAUAUCAGAUUAGCUAGUUGGUGGGGUAAAGGCCCACCAAGGCGACGAUCUGUAGCGGGUCUGAGAGGAUGAUCCGCCACACUGGGACUGAGACACGGCCCAGACUCCUACGGGAGGCAGCAGUGGGGAAUUUUGGACAAUGGGGGCAACCCUGAUCCAGCCAUGCCGCGUGAGUGAAGAAGGCCUUCGGGUUGUAAAGCUCUUUCAGCCGGAAAGAAAUCGCGCAGGCUAAUAUCCUGUGUGGAUGACGGUACCGGAAGAAGAAGCACCGGCUAACUACGUGCCAGCAGCCGCGGUAAUACGUAGGGUGCGAGCGUUAAUCGGAAUUACUGGGCGUAAAGCGUGCGCAGGCGGUUUUGUAAGACAGGCGUGAAAUCCCCGGGCUUAACCUGGGAACUGCGUUUGUGACUGCAAGGCUAGAGUGUGGCAGAGGGGGGUAGAAUUCCG